Molecule: long non-coding RNA, 724 nt
Organism: Homo sapiens (human)
Lineage: Eukaryota; Metazoa; Chordata; Mammalia; Primates; Hominidae
Product: long intergenic non-protein coding RNA 906
Source: Ensembl
CUUUCCUGAGAGGCAGUCCCUGCAGCAGGCUUGAGCCUCUCUCACUGACAGCCUGCCUCGCAUAAUGUUAAGCAGGCAUCGGACACUUGCUGGAAGGCAGGGAAUUGCAAUGAAAGAGCACGGAGGUGAGAAGCUGUGCUCCUUGGGGUGAAGGCAGCUUCUGUGCUCCUGGGAUCUACUGUUAAGCCAGGGUGACGCCAGCUUGCAUGCUACCGGAGGGUUCUGGAGGCUGGAAAAUCUAAGAUCAAAAUGCCAACAGGUUUGGUGUCUGGUGAGGGCCCACUCUCCACUUCCAAGACGAUGCCUUGAACACUGCAUCCUCCAGCGUGGAGGAAACACAGUUCCUCACAUGUCAGAAGAACAAAAGAGGAAAGAGAGAGCCCACUCUCAAAAGCCCUUUUGUUUAAGGUAUUAAACCCACCAUGAGGGAAGAGCCUACAUGGCCUUACCACCUGUUAAAGGCUUCACCUCCCAAGACCAUUACAUUGGCAAUUACAUUUCAACAUCAACCUUCAGGCCUCCACUUAAGCGAGUUCUGACGUCAGUGAAUACUUCUGCAGCAUGGAAGUGCCAGGACCCUCGUUGGCCCCUGAUGGCCAAAUAGCCUCACUCUCCAUUAGAAGAGAAAGCCUCACUCUCCAUUAGAAGGCCAGGAGAGCGAAAUCAGGGAUUGCUUUCAAAACAAACAGUGUGGCAAUAAAGAAUUUCAGAAGAAAAUAAAGAA